RNAcentral lists this small nuclear RNA (102 nucleotides) under Dasypus novemcinctus (nine-banded armadillo). Lineage: Eukaryota; Metazoa; Chordata; Mammalia; Cingulata; Dasypodidae. The record is from RNAcentral.
UUGCUUUGGCUGCACAUACCUAAACUUAGAAUAAUACAAAGAAGAUUAUGUUGGCUCCUAUGCAAGGUAGACCUGCAGAUUUGUGAAGUGCUCCAUAUUUUU